Non-coding RNA from Pangasianodon gigas (Mekong giant catfish), 72 nucleotides. Lineage: Eukaryota; Metazoa; Chordata; Actinopteri; Siluriformes; Pangasiidae. The record is from the annotation of a GenBank genome assembly.
UCCCUGGAGGACUGGUGGUUAGGCCUCGGCUCUCUCACCACUGUGGCCUGGGUUCAAUUCCCGGCCAGGGAA